RNAcentral lists this ribosomal RNA (73 nucleotides) under Russula cf. amoenolens MICH12795. RNAcentral's name for it is "partial 28S ribosomal RNA". It matches the Rfam family "Eukaryotic large subunit ribosomal RNA", at positions 50 to 122 of the family's 3401-position model. The record is from RNAcentral. Lineage: Eukaryota; Fungi; Basidiomycota; Agaricomycetes; Russulales; Russulaceae.
RCGGAGGAAAARAAACUAACAAGGAUUCCCCUAGUAACUGCGARUGAAGCGGGAAAAGCUCAAAUUUAAAAUU